Molecule: long non-coding RNA, 258 nt
Organism: Lutra lutra (Eurasian river otter)
Lineage: Eukaryota; Metazoa; Chordata; Mammalia; Carnivora; Mustelidae
Exons: 3
Source: RefSeq, a predicted model, not a curated record
CCACACUGGGCUCUCUGCUCAGCGGGGAGCCUGCUUCUCUCUCUCUCUCUCUCUGCCUGCCUCUCUGCUUAUUUGUGAUCUCUGUCAAAUAAAUAAAAUCUUUAAAAAAAAAAAAAACAAAGCUAAGAAUUAGUAUAUAUAAGAUGAUUACUAGCUCUCAAUAUAUAUUGCAUAAAUUUAUGAAAAAAAAGAUCUGAUCACAUAUUUAUAAAGUAUAAAACAUUUUUUUUAAGAUUUUAUUUACUUGAGAGAGAAAGA